UACGGAGGGUGCAAGCGUUGUUCGGAAUCACUGGGCGUAAAGAGCGUGUAGGCGGCCCGGUAAGUCCGCUGUAAAAGUCAAAGGCUCAACCUUUGAAUGUCAGUGGAUACUGCCGGGCUAGAGUCCGGAAGAGGCGAGUGGAACUCCUGGUGUAGCGGUGGAAUGCGCAGAUAUCAGGAAGAACACCAACGGCGAAGGCAGCUCGCUGGGACGGUACUGACGCUGAGACGCGAAAGCGUGGGGAGCGAACAGG
Molecule: ribosomal RNA, 253 nt
Filed under: uncultured bacterium
Lineage: Bacteria
Description: partial 16S ribosomal RNA
Rfam family: Bacterial small subunit ribosomal RNA
Source: RNAcentral